UAUUGCACAAUGGAGGAAACUCUGAUGCAGCGACGCCGCGUGAGUGACGAAGGCCUUCGGGUUGUAAAGCUCUGUUCUCAGGGAAAAAGCAAGUGAUUGUACCUGAGGAGAAAGGACCGGCUAACUUCGUGCCAGCAGCCGCGGUAAGACGAGGGGUCCAAGCGUUGUUCGGAAUUAUUGGGCGUAAAGCGGGUGUAGGUGGCUCUAUAAGUCAGAAGUGAAAGCCCCGGGCUUAACCCGGGAAGUGCUUUUGAUACUGCAGAGCUUGAAUGUGGGAGAGGGUAGUGGAAUUCCAGGUGUAGUGGUGAAAUACGUAGAUAUCUGGAGGAACACCGGUGGCGAAGGCGGCUACCUGCCCAACAUGACACGAGACCCGA
Molecule: ribosomal RNA, 377 nt
Filed under: uncultured bacterium
Lineage: Bacteria
Description: bacterial SSU rRNA
Rfam family: Bacterial small subunit ribosomal RNA
Source: RNAcentral